RNAcentral lists this ribosomal RNA (465 nucleotides) under uncultured bacterium. Its description in RNAcentral is "partial 16S ribosomal RNA". It matches the Rfam family "Bacterial small subunit ribosomal RNA", at positions 28 to 507 of the family's 1533-position model. The record is from RNAcentral.
GACGAACGCUGGCGGCGUGCUUUACACAUGCAAGUCGAACGGAAAGGCCCUGCUUGCAGGGUACUCGAGUGGCGAACGGGUGAGUAACACGUGGGUGAUCUGCCCUGCACUUCGGGAUAAGCCUGGGAAACUGGGUCUAAUACCGGAUAGGAGCCAUUUUUAGUGUGAUGGUUGGAAAGUUUUUUCGGUGUAGGAUGAGCUCGCGGCCUAUCAGCUUGUUGGUGGGGUAAUGGCCUACCAAGGCGGCGACGGGUAGCCGGCCUGAGAGGGUGGACGGCCACAUUGGGACUGAGAUACGGCCCAGACUCCUACGGGAGGCAGCAGUGGGGAAUAUUGCACAAUGGGCGCAAGCCUGAUGCAGCGACGCCGCGUGGGGGAUGACGGCCUUCGGGUUGUAAACGCCUUUCGCUAGGGACGAAGCUUUUUGUGGCGGUACCUAGAUAAGAAGCACCGGCUAACUACGUG